GCCGUUGGACAAACUGCCGAGACUGCCAGGCAGUUCUUGCAGGCCACAAGUUGGAAGCUUGAGGAGGCUAUUUAGCUUUUUUAUAUAGGCAGUGAAGGCGGCACUGUAGUGGGAGGAUCGUCUUCUCAAUUUCCGCCUACAGAAAAUAUUGAAGCUUUGGCCGAACAGACUGCUCGUGAAGCCGAAAGGAAUUUGGCACUGAUUGUUGGAGAUGAAGUACGCCCUCC
Long non-coding RNA from Humulus lupulus (European hop), 227 nucleotides. RefSeq lists it as uncharacterized. The record is from RefSeq and is a predicted model, not a curated record. The transcript is spliced from 3 exons. Lineage: Eukaryota; Viridiplantae; Streptophyta; Magnoliopsida; Rosales; Cannabaceae.